Molecule: ribosomal RNA, 253 nt
Filed under: uncultured bacterium
Lineage: Bacteria
Description: partial 16S ribosomal RNA
Rfam family: Bacterial small subunit ribosomal RNA
Source: RNAcentral
UACAGAGGGUGCGAGCGUUAAUCGGAAUCACUGGGCUUAAAGCGUGUGUAGGCGGAUGCCUAAGUACCUUGUGAAAUCCCACGGCUCACCCGUGGAACUGCUCGGUAUACUGGGUGUCUUGAGCCACUUAGGGGCUACCGGAACAAAUGGUGGAGCGGUGAAAUGCGUAGAUAUCAUUUGGAACGCCAAUGGUGAAAACAGGUAGCUGGGAGUGUGCUGACGCUGAGACACGAAAGCCAGGGGAGCAAACGGG